RNAcentral lists this transfer RNA (60 nucleotides) under Chaetogammarus marinus. Its description in RNAcentral is "tRNA-Tyr". Lineage: Eukaryota; Metazoa; Arthropoda; Malacostraca; Amphipoda; Gammaridae. The record is from RNAcentral.
AGCCAGGUGGUGUAUUAAACACAAUAAGUUGUAAACUUAGAGAAGCGAGAGCUUUGGUUU